RNAcentral lists this ribosomal RNA (293 nucleotides) under uncultured bacterium. RNAcentral describes it as "partial 16S ribosomal RNA". It matches the Rfam family "Bacterial small subunit ribosomal RNA", at positions 775 to 1067 of the family's 1533-position model. The record is from RNAcentral.
GGAUUAGAUACCCUGGUAGUCCACGCCGUAAACGAUGUCUACUUGGAGGUUGUGGCCUUGAGCCGUGGCUUUCGGAGCUAACGCGUUAAGUAGACCGCCUGGGGAGUACGGUCGCAAGAUUAAAACUCAAAUGAAUUGACGGGGGCCCGCACAAGCGGUGGAGCAUGUGGUUUAAUUCGAUGCAACGCGAAGAACCUUACCUACUCUUGACAUCUACAGAAGCUUGCGGAGACGCGAGUGUGCCUUCGGGAACUGUAAGACAGGUGCUGCAUGGCUGUCGUCAGCUCGUGCCG